CAUAUAAUUAAGCGGAGGAAAAGAAACUAACUAGGAUUCCCUCAGUAACGGCGAGUGAAGCGGGACUAGCUCAGGAUGUGAAUCUGCGCUUUAUUGGCGCCGAAUUGUGGUCUGUAGACUUUGACGUUAUCUGCCGGGCCAAGUUCCUUGGAAAAGGACAGCUGAGAGGGUGAGACUCCCGUCCGCCUGGUUGAGUGAGUCAUUUGUCAACGAGUCGAGUUGUUUGGGAUUGCAGCUCUAAUUUGGUGGUAAAUUCCAUCUAAAGCUAAAUAUUGGUGGGAGACCGAUAGCGUACAAGUACCGUGAGGGAAAGAUGCAAAGAACUUUGAAAAGAGAGUUAAAGAGUACCUGAAACUGCUGAAACGGAAGCGAAGGAAACCAGUGUUUGUUUGUUCAUAUUUCCCUGGCCACUUGUGGUUUGGGCGCUGUGAGCUUGCGUGAGUUUGGGUUGGUUGAUCCCUUUGGAAGAGCGCAGUCAGAGUUGAUGUCUGUUGCUAGCACUGGGUUUGACUGAUGCAGACGAAAUGGUUUUCUUUACCCCGUCUUGAAACACGGACCAAGGAGUCUAACAUAUGUGCGAGUACAGGGGUGUCAAACCCCGGUGCGUAAUGAAAGUGACAGUGGUUGGAAUUUUGCACAAUCCGCCGGCCUCAAUCCUUCGGGAGAACGGUCUGAGUGUGAGCAUACAUGUUGGGACCCGAAAGAUGGUGAACUAUGCCUGAAUAGGGUGAAGCCAGGGGAAACUCUGGUGGAGGCUCGUAGCGAUUCUG
RNAcentral lists this ribosomal RNA (770 nucleotides) under Pseudo-nitzschia brasiliana. Its description in RNAcentral is "LSU rRNA". It matches the Rfam family "Eukaryotic large subunit ribosomal RNA", at positions 39 to 888 of the family's 3401-position model. Lineage: Eukaryota; Bacillariophyta; Bacillariophyceae; Bacillariales; Bacillariaceae. The record is from RNAcentral.